Molecule: long non-coding RNA, 3874 nt
Organism: Canis lupus familiaris (dog)
Lineage: Eukaryota; Metazoa; Chordata; Mammalia; Carnivora; Canidae
Exons: 2
Source: RefSeq, a predicted model, not a curated record
CGCGCUCCCCAGCUGCAAGCCUCGCCUCGCGCGCGCCCCAGAGCCCCAGAGCCCCAGGGCCCCAGGGCCCGCCUCACCAAGGCCCCGGCGCAGGACAUACUGCAACUGGCGGAGGACACCUAAACCCUGCCUUCUUCGUAUUCACCGGUUCCUGAGGUCUGUGGAGACAUGUGCGCCAGGCCACGAGCCUUAAGAAAAACCCUGGAUCCUGAGAAUGAGGAGGCUCAGUGCCCCCCACCCCCCAAGCCCCCCGGAUGCCCCGUCUGGAUCUGCGCUCCCUCCCUGCUUCAAUCAACUCUGCUCUCACUUCCUCACCUCACACUCGUGUGUGAUCUCUGCCCUGUGUGAAGCCAGGACCCACCCGUGGGCCCAGCCAGCCAGUCCGUGUCAAUCCUCCACGUCAGAAAAGUAGAGGCCAGGAAUCCCACGGAGCACCAAGAAACACCCAGGAAUCUGGCCUUUACCCUUCGAGGACAGCAGUUAUAAUUUCAAAUAUUUUAAACGUGAAGUUUUUGCAACGGGGGGUAUGUAUGAAAUCAGCACGGGUAGGGUCCCUUUGGCAACCCUCUUGUCCGUGUUAGGAACGAAACCUUCUGGGUUGAUCUCUUUUGAAGUCCCUAUGACUUGACUUCUCCUGUCGGAUUCAGCACCACAGUUCGGGAGAGUCUCCUGGUGUGUGGUGACCAACAGACUGUUAUACAUGUGAACACACAGAUUGAAAAGAGCAUCUCCACGGAAAAAAGACCCUGCUAGAGGCACCUGCUUUGUACAAGGUUUUAUAGGCUUUAUAAGGUAAUACGCAGCAGAAAAAUGGAAAUAAGUGGCGUCACACAUGUAGAGGGAGCAGCGGGGUUGUGUGUGCUCUUGUUUUUAGUUUUCUUUUUGGUGGAUGUGAUUGGAUAGAGGUCAAUUAGGUUAGCCUGAGGGAAUCUAGAAAACUUGCUCUCUGCACCUAAAUUAGCAAUUUCAGGCAGUAGAUAUCACACGCCCAAUUUGUUCAAAUACCUUUAUAAGCUCAUGGUAGAUAGAAUGUCUUCACCUUUGUCUUCCAAUCAGGAUACUUUCAUUACUGCUACAAACCAAAGUAAUUUUAUGGUUAAUUGGGAUCAGACAGGCUUCGGGAGAUACGGGGUGAAGGCAUCAACACCUACCAUAGAAACAAACAAAGCCGAGCCCUCUAAAGUUUGGCUUAGAGCCUGGAGUCGAUCGCUUGGCCUCCCUGCGGCCGGUGACCCCAUCAGGCCUUCUUUCCCCCAGACUUCCAACGGCUUUUGUAAAUUUAGGAAAUACCACAGGCUACCAUUUGGGGUGUAAAACUUGGUGAACCUACUUGGCAGGUUGUCUUCGAGGCAGGCGUGGAGAGAGCGACUGAGUCUUCUCUCUUCUCUUUUGCAAGGGCGGGGGGCGGGGGGGCUCUCCAGGGCCAUUCAUUCCUGACGUGAGAUUCCCCAGCGGUCGUCCGUGGUCCCGGAGGAGGCCUUGGCUUCCUCGGCGCUCCCCGGUCUUCCUCUCCGGCCUCGUGGCAUCCUGACGUCACAGGGCCGCACCUCACCCUGCAGCCAGGGGCCCCGCACAGCCUGCGAUUUCAGUUCCAAGCUUUCCUGGUUCCUGUGCCCUCUGCCAAGGACUCGCUUCUCUCCCUCUCCGCCCUCCCCUCCCACCUCCUCUUAAAGCGACUCGGCUUAUCGUCCCCUCGGGAUUCGGGUCGCGGCGCGCUCCUGCCUCGCGUGGGACGCGCGUUUGGCGGGGGCUGCGCGGUCACCCGGUGGCCGGCCGGCAGCUUCUGGGGCGGGGCGGCCUGCCUAAGGCGCCCUGGGCCCCCACCCCGGCCUUGCACGCCCUGAGCGAGAAUGCUGGGUGCGAAGGUGCGCAGUAGACAACCUAUCCAAGAUAUUUUGCCACCACCUCUUCAGCAUCUGGACUCCUACCAUCAUUGAUGACCUCUUCAACAGCUGAGUUGAUUCUUUAUUUUUUAAAAAUUAUUUUAAAAAAUAAUAAAGAAAAACAUUUAAAAAUUAUGUUUUUAAAGGGAGAGGGGAGGUAAGACAGAGGGGAAUAAAGAGAGAAAGAAAGAGAGAGAAUCUCAAGCAGGAGCCCAACACAGGGCUCAAUCUCAUGACUCUGAGAUCAUGACCUGAGCUGAAAUCAAGAGUUGGACGUUUAACUGACGAAGCCACCCAAGCAACCCUCAAAUUGAUUCUUCAGAUGUAAAACAAAGAACAACAGUAACAAAAACCCAUUUAUGAAUCAUUUGUACUUAUAGGAGAACAAUAUGAAUAUGUAAACAUGCUCUGACAACUGAAAAUUACACCAUGGGAAACUAUAUAUCUGCUUUAGCAAAAGGGACUGAAUGGCAUUUAGAACUACAAUAAUACAUGUACGUCUUACAGUCUGGUUUUUGGAAAAAUACAUUGGUUUAUGUCACUAGACUUCCUUGGAUUGACUCACACAAACUAACAGAUAAAGUACACUAGCAGUGAUUUAUAAUUGAAAAGCACGAAGAGCAGCAACUGAAAAUUAUGACCAAUUCACAACAGUGCUGAUGCAGUGUUUCAGACAGCAUCCUGUCUGAAAAUUGUAGGAAUUCUAACUAUCUGACUGCUCAUUAAUUGUGGGAGCUCAGCAGCCUGCCAAGUAUUGUAUGACCGCCAGCACUCCUCAUGGAAUUCUGUUUUAGCUUUGGCAAACCAACGCCAACUGAUGUAUUGAGCACAGUAAGCAUAAUGCCUAGGGCCCAGGAUACUUUUAGGGAGCCCACAUAAAUAUCUUAAUUUCUUUUAAAAUAAGAAGAAAAUAAGCAAAACAAUAAGGAUCUGCCUGAAUUAUAUUUGUCUUUAUACCAGUGCAGUUAUAAAAUAAAAUUUUAAUCUUUUUUAUGGAAGAAUAGGUCAACAAAAGCAAAAGUGCCUAGGACCUCCCCAAAUCAGAAGGCCCUAUGGUAAACUGUUAAUACUCUGCUAAUGUAAUCCACGGAUUCCAAAUCUUAGUGGGUCUUAAUAACUUAAAAAUAUAGCAUUUAGUGUUACAUGAAACCCUACAGAACUGCUUGUCAUGUGAUCAUAAGAAAGAACUUCAAUUCUGGCAUCUGGACUGGAGGAUACUCAUAGCCUACCCAUAAAUGGAGGACCAUUUUUAAUGAUUACAGCUAUUCCAUUGAUAUAUAUGUCUGUAAUACAUGAAAAUUUUAAAAAACCUUCUGUACAUCAAAGGACACUAUGAACUGAGUGAAAAAGACAACCUACACAGUGGGAGAAAAUAUUUGUAAAUCAUAUAUCUAAACGGGAGUUAAUAUUCAGAACAUAUGAAAAGUCCUAUAACUCAACAACAACAAAGUAACUAUCUUUAAAAAUGGGCAAAGGACUUGAAUAGACGUUUCUCCAAAGAAGAAAUCCAAAUGGCUAAUAAGCACAUGAAAAAAUGCUCAGCAGCAACAUCAACACCACAGACUGGAUUGCCUAUAUUCAACAGAAAUUUCUCACAAUUCUGGGGACUAGGAAGUCCAAGGUCAAGGCACUAGCAUGAUCUCAUUCUGGUGCAGGCUUGCUUUCUGGUUCAUAGAUGGCCAUCUCCUGGUCGUGUCCUUGAAUAGUGGAAGGCACUAGAGAUCUCUGUGGGGUCCCUUUUACAAGUAUACUAAUCCCAUUCAUGAUGGCCCUUCCUUCAUGACCUAAUCACCUCCCAAAUGCCCCACGUCUUAAUACAACCACCUUUAAGAGUUAGGAUUUCAACCUAUGAAUUUUGAAGGGACGCAAAUAUUUGACCAUAGCACUAGUUAUUAGAGAAGUGAAAACAAAACCACAAUGAGAUACUGCUUCUCAUCUAUUAGGAUGGCUAUUAUAAAAAAAAAAAAACUAACAAGUGUCGUGAGGACGUA